Molecule: long non-coding RNA, 225 nt
Filed under: Gorilla gorilla gorilla (western lowland gorilla)
Lineage: Eukaryota; Metazoa; Chordata; Mammalia; Primates; Hominidae
Description: lncRNA (ENSGGOG00000044275.1)
Source: RNAcentral
CUUGGUCUCUUUUGUUUAAUUAUGACAAAGCAUUCUCUGCAAAAUGCCGCUGUUCUCAUCAUCCUGGUCCAAGCCAAGUUCUGAAUCUGAGAGUGGGACACCAGCCCGAAGCCAAAGCCUCAGAAUACGAAGUGCCCUGCCUUCCAUCCCAGCCCACCCAGACAAGCAACUGAACAAAGUGGAAUAUGGGCUAGUGUUGAGAAGCCAUUCUCAAAUCUCCACCAG